CACAAAAUGAAGCUAUAGCAAAAGCUCAAACUCAGCAGAAACACAGAAAAUCUCUAAACGCUUCUUCUUUCUUAAACCCCUUUGGCCCUUUAUGAGUUCCCGGCUUGGUUAAUUUCAGCAACCUUCAGCUCUCUUUAACAAACUUCAGAAUAUCAUCGGCGAUCCCCAUCUCAAACUCUUCAAACAAAACCCAUCAAAUUCCUCACGAAGUAGAUAUUUUUUCUGGGUUUUUCUUCUGCGAUCAGAGUGGCUUAAUUAACGUCUGUAAAGACAGUAAAGUUAAUUGGCAGUUUCAAAACGAUCAUCGGCCGACGGAUCUGAACUGCGAAGACCUCAGUUGGUUUAAGUCAACGGCUUUGAAGCCGAGCAAGCUUUCAAAUGGGUUACUAGGGCCCAAAUCCACUGCCUGUGCUCGAGAUCCUGCCCCAGUUGUCGACCCAAAAGCCCAAAUGCUCAGAGAUGUAUGGGUGAAUUAACAAGCUGCUUUGUUUUGACAAAAGACAUCACUGGAGAAGUCAUGGACAUGGACUAAUAGAGAAAGACCAUUGAAAAAAGCAUGUGCAUCUGCAAAAGGCAGUGGCGCCGUCUCUGUUUCAGGGCAGAGUACCGUCUUAGCAUUUCUACGAUUUUGGAAUCAAAACAAGCAGAAGCGUUUAUGGGCUCAUUCAAACAGUGAAUCACCAUGCGGCCUCUGUUUCUUCAUGGUGAAGGAGGGGAUUAAAUCAAUUGGGCAUCCUUAUUUUGUAGUUAUCCAAAAGCACAAACUGAAGCAAUCAAUAAGCAAGAACAAUCACAAGAAGACUAAAAAAUGCAGAGAUCAAGUAUGGUAACAAACCCAGAGAAAAAUAAAGCGAUCAAUUCAAUAUAUAUCAAAUCCAACUCGUACAUGAUCGAUAAGGAGAGCUACAAGAGCAAGAAAAAAACUUGGAACACAUAUUGAGAUCACGGAAAUGGAUCCUUACACUUGUGGGUAUUUUUCAUUGUGGUGUUGUUGGAUUUGCAGGCACCACCAGAAGAGCAUAGAGAAGCCAUAAACUGGACUAAGCGAUCAAACAUCAUUCGCUUCACAAGUUUCCUCCUUGGGGGGAUCACACUUGCCUUCUUCGCCUUGAACAACGGGGGAAUCCUAGCCGCCAUUCUGGAUCCUCCAUUGGCCCGUACCGUUUCUGCACCCGGGUUCACCUUCACUGCCAUCUCAGGCCAGCUGCCACUUUCUUGUUUGAGUAGAGUGUUUUCUUUUUUCACUUCCAAAAUAGAUAUCCACUCCUCUAUGGGUGUAAAAAUAUUAGGAAUUCUGAAUUUAUUUUAUUUGUUUAGAGAAAUUUGGCCAAUGAGAGGAAAGCUUGUGAGCCAAGCAUUUAUAUAAUUACUAAAAGGCCACAUUAUUUCAAAUGACACGCUUUUAAUUACUAA
RNA transcript from Pistacia vera, 1413 nucleotides. RefSeq lists it as uncharacterized. The record is from RefSeq and is a predicted model, not a curated record. The transcript is spliced from 3 exons. NCBI's taxonomy places the organism in Eukaryota, Viridiplantae, Streptophyta, Magnoliopsida, Sapindales, Anacardiaceae.